CAAGUCGAACGAUGAAGUUCCUUCGGGAAUGGAUUAGUGGCGAACGGGUGAGAAACACGUGAGAAACCUGCCUUUCAUUUUGGGAUAACUCCGGGAAACCGGAGCUAACACCGAAUACUCCGUCUCGGCGGCAUCGCUGAGCCGGGAAAAAAUUUUGAUGAAAGAUGGUCUCGCGGCCUAUCAGCUAGUUGGUGAGGUAAUGGCUCACCAAGGCGACGACGGGUAGCCGGCCUGAGAGGGCGACCGGCCACACUGGGACUGAGACACGGCCCAGACUCCUACGGGAGGCAGCAGUGGGGAAUAUUGGGCAAUGGGCGCAAGCCUGACCCAGCGACGCCGCGUGAGGGAUGAAGGCCUUCGGGUUGUAAACCUCUUUCAGUAGGGAAGAAGCGAAAGUGACGGUACCUAAAGAAGAAGCACCGGCUAACUAUGUGCCAGCAGCCGCGGUAAUACAUAGGGUGCAAGCGUUGUCCGGAAUUAUUGGGCGUAAAGAGCUCGUAGGUCGUUUGCCACGUCGAUUGUGAAAAUCUGAGGCUCAACCUCAGACCUGCAGUCGAUACGGGCAAACUAGAGUGUGGUAGGGGAGACUGGAAUUCCUGGUGUAGCGGUGGAAUGCGCAGAUAUCAGGAGGAACACCAAUGGCGAAGGCAGGUCUCUGGGCCAUAACUGACACUGAGGAGCGAAAGCGCGGGGAGCGAACAGGAUUAGAUACCCUGGUAGUCCGCGCCGUAAACGAUGGGCACUAGCUGUGAGAACCUUCCACGGUUUUCGCGACGCAGCAAACGCAUUAAGUGCCCCGCCUGGGGAGUACGAUCGCAAGAUUAAAACUCAAAGGAAUUGACGGG
RNAcentral lists this ribosomal RNA (845 nucleotides) under uncultured bacterium. RNAcentral describes it as "bacterial SSU rRNA". It matches the Rfam family "Bacterial small subunit ribosomal RNA", at positions 58 to 917 of the family's 1533-position model. The record is from RNAcentral.